Long non-coding RNA from Mya arenaria, 679 nucleotides. RefSeq lists it as uncharacterized. The transcript has 6 exons. NCBI's taxonomy places the organism in Eukaryota, Metazoa, Mollusca, Bivalvia, Myida, Myidae. The record is from RefSeq and is a predicted model, not a curated record.
CGCAUCUGGCAUUUUAUGAAUUUUAUAUUAUGUUACCUUUUAAAGAAGUCAGACAUACUGAUUUAUAUGAUUUAGUUUCUAAUUGUUAACUCUGUUUGUUUAAAAUGGGUUGAUCUACUGGACAUCUGUUUUAGAAGAACGCUUUUUGUGAAGCUUUGGAGUUCGCCUGUCGUGUAGAUAGACGUUCAUCGGUUUUCUGCCAAGGAGCUUAGUCAAGAAUCUGCAAUAAAUUAUUGGCACGAUAGUUAGUAUAUGUUAUGGCGUGUGGAAAGUCGGAAUACCCGGAGAAAACCCACUUGCCGGCUUGUCGACGUAUGGCCAAAUUCACAUUCGUCCAGACAGCUUGAGAGGAUAAAACCACUGACAACUCCUAUGUUUGCCAAGCGCUGUUGGCGUUCUUUGGAUUUUCACAGCGCUGAAAAGGCAUGCUUCAUAAAAACACUGGGAACGCCUCAACAUUGAUGUGCAUUAAGGUACUUAACAAAGCAUGGGUGGAGUCAGGAAUUACCCAUGUAAGACAGCUUUGUUAAAGCAUACUUAGUCACAGGCCUACUGCAUGUGAUGUGUCCUGGAUAUAUCUCAGCUUGGUGAAGAUUUGCCCGGCCAAGGCUCCUACAGGGGUGGACAGCAUGUCCUCUACGACGCUGCAACCAUCGAGGUGCUUCGGACAGUUUCCAGC